This 535-nucleotide ribosomal RNA is filed under the name uncultured bacterium. RNAcentral describes it as "bacterial SSU rRNA". It matches the Rfam family "Bacterial small subunit ribosomal RNA", at positions 336 to 873 of the family's 1533-position model. The record is from RNAcentral.
UUCCUACGGGAGGCAGCAGUAAGGAAUAUUGGUCAAUGGAGGUAACUCUGAACCAGCCAUGCCGCGUGGAGGAUGAAGGUCCUUUGGAUUGUAAACUUCUUUUAUAUGGGACGAAAAAAGGCUUUUGUAAGUCGUCUGACGGUACCAAAUAAAUAAGCACCGGCUAACUCCGUGCCAGCAGCCGCGGUAAUACGGAGGGAGCAAGCUUUAUCCGGAUUCAGUGGGUUUAAAGGGUGCGUAGGUGGGUUGGUAAGUCAGGGGUGAAAUCCCCGAGCUUAAGGAGGGAACUGCCAUUGAUACUAUCAGUCUUGAAUACGAGGGAGGUGGGCGGAAUCUGUCAUGUAGCGGAGAAAUGCUUAGAUAUGGCAAAACACACCGAUAGGGAAGGCAGCUGGCUACGCACAUACUGACACUGAGGCAAGAAAGGGUGGGGAACAAACAGGAUUAGAUACCCUGGUAGUCCACGCCCUAAACUAUGGAUACUCGACAUGUGCGAUAAACUUCAGUGUCGGAGCGAAAGCGUUAAGUUUCCACC